UAUGUUCAGCCUCACUAAGGAAAAGAGGAAAGAAAGAAAGAACAAAACCCUAGUUAGAAAAUUCAAGAGAAAAUUUUGGAAUUUCAAGGAAUCAAGUGACGAAAGGUAAGAUUUUUCAAUUUUAGCUUGAGAUCUAUCUUUCUUAAGCAUUCUUUCUCAUUUUCCAUGGUUGAAAUUCAUGAUUUCAUGGUGGAUCCCUUGUUGGCCGAACCUAGGGGGAGAAGAUUUGAUGAUGAAUUUNCAUUUUCCAUGGUUGAAAUUCAUGAUUUCAUGGUGGAUCCCUUGUUGGCCGAACCUAGGGGGAGAAGAUUUGAUGAUGAAUUUAGUUGGAAAACAUGUUAUUCUAGUGUUUUUAGUUGGUUGGUGAUGUGUAGCAUGAAAAGCAAACAAGAAAAAUUCAUGUUCUUCCAUCACCCUCAUUGGCCGAAUCUUCCUUAUGGUAUGUUGAUGGUGGAUUUGAUUUUAUUUCAAGUGAUUUGGUUAGGAACUAAUGAUUUAUGGUAUAAAAAAAUCAAGUAUGAAAAACCAUAGUGUUUAUGUACCCACCAUGGCCGAAUUUCAUAAGGAACCUAGUGAUGAUGAUUCUUGUGAUAUCUUGUGUUAUUUAGUUAGAAUUUAAUGAAUGGUGGUGAUGGAAAUCGAAAAUGGUAAUUUUAAAGUAUAGUUCUUUGGUAAAUAAGUUGAAUAGCAAUGAGAAAGUCAAGCUCAUUGAGACGCUUUGGUGUAUUUUGGGACAUUGGAAGUGUGAUGAAUAUAAUUGGGGUCAAUUUGGAUGUUUUGGUUAAAUCAAAGGUGGAGAGUUCGAAUUAGGUCGAAAAUCGAUCCAUUCCGAUCACAAUUGAACCAACGUGUAACACCGUCUUUAAGUGACUAUCCGAACAACCUCAUGCAUUCAUAUAGAGCCUGAAAUAGAUUUAUAAUGACAUGACACAAUAUAUUGAAUUAUUUGUUGUGUAUUGUGUAUAGGUGGUGAGUCUUCUAACAAGGGUAAAGACAUUAUGCCAAAGGACCAAGAAUAGGAGUAUUUCGAACUCCCGAUAUCGUGAGUAACCUUAUUAUUGUCUUAAUUAUCUAAAGUAGUUUUUAUUCGCUUUUGUGAUUUUAUAGAAAAAUGAGUUUAAAUGGUAAAUCCUUAUGUUUUAUAGGUAAAAUGUGAUUAAAUGAAAUAAGUUUUAUAAAUCAUUUUGAAAUUAAAUGAUGAUUUUAGAAAUUGAGUAAUUGGAGACUGUUUGAUUGUGUUGUAAUUUAUGGUUUGAAUUGAAUGGCUUAUGGUGAUAUUGGCAUGCUUAUGGUGAUAUUGGCAUGAAUGGCUGAAUUGGAAAUUGUUUUGAAAUUGUAUGAAUUGUUUGUUUUGCCUUAACAGGCUGGGUAGUAAUAUAAUUGCAAUGUCAUGCUGUCGAAACUUUUAUUGAUUUGGUGGGAUAUUGAUUAGUCACUGCAGUGGUGGGUUUCAGUGGACCAGCCUAUUAGAAAGGGGCACGGUAAACCCGGUUAUAUUUUACCUCGGUACAAGAGGAGCGGAGGGUAUCUCCUGAGGUAAAGCUUUAGAGUUCACUACAAGCUGAACCACCACGUGAGGGUGAACUUGGCCAACGCCAAGGAACGGCUAUGUUUUAAAACGUACAAAUAUGAUUUAUGGAUAUACGACUUUUCUUUAACAGCCUUGACGGACUCGGUUGGAUGCCCCAGCCAAGGUAUCCCCGAGAAUGAGUUUUGGCGUGAGCCAAAUUUUUAAGAAAUUCAUAAGCCAUGUUGAUUAUUUGAGUGAAAUGAAUUUAUUUUGUUUAGUUGAAAUGAGUUUGAAACGUUAUGAAUCAUAGUACGAUGAACUAUUUUAAGUUGUCUCCAUUUUCUUGACUUUAGAUAUUUUACAUGAUGUUUGUUUACUCACUGAGUUUAUAUAAACUCACCACCCUCCUUGCCACUCAUUUCAGGCUCAGGUUAAUCUGUAGAUAGCUGAUUUCGUCAAGGGCUACAGUUGGAUUUGCAUCCUCAAAAAUCGUAGGUUCGCAGCCUUCGUUACUUUUGGUCCAUUCGGGGGGGGGGGGGGGGCACAUGUCAUUGUAAAUAAAAUUACACACUCUGGCUCACUGUAUUACUGUAUGUACGAAUUUAUUUUGCUUUUACGUUAUAAAAAUUAUUUACGAAUAUCUCUAUAAAUAUUGUUUCAUAAGAAAAUUGAAUAUUUUAUUUAAUAUUUUUAUUUUAUUCUAAUAGCUAUCAGUUCACUUUAAAUGAAUGUUUUAGACAACUAAACUUAUUUUUGGUUAUGAAAUAUGUAUUUUUCACUCAUAUACUACAUUUUUAGAUGGUUUCAAAAUUUUCAGGGAAAAAUGACCAAAAUACCCCUAUGAGACGAAAAUUAGUUUUUUAUUGUUUUGGUUUGGAAAUAGCUUAUAAUCUUUUAAAAUAUGAUAUUAGCAACUGUUGCUCGCAGGGGAGGUGAGAAAACUAAUGUUAAAGCCUUGCGGGGUUUCGAUUAGCAUUCCGGGUAAUGAAUGUCUAUCGGGACAUCGCGGCGGUUGUCACGGGCUCGAGGAGGGUACCGGGUCGUGACAUAAAAGGCAUUGCAUUGAGAGGUUAUGCUUGAUCCUUGAAAGGCAUUGUAAAGGUUAAGCUUGAGCCUUAAAAAGUAUUUUUCAUAGUGGAUUUGAAAUUCCUUAGUGAGCUAAGGGUGAGGACGUAGGCAAGGAGGCUAAACUUUUAUAAAACUAUUUUUUCUCUCUUUAUUUUUUACUCCUUGAAU
RNAcentral lists this long non-coding RNA (2746 nucleotides) under Theobroma cacao (cacao). RNAcentral's name for it is "long non-coding RNA (TCAC_LNC001628)". The record is from RNAcentral. Lineage: Eukaryota; Viridiplantae; Streptophyta; Magnoliopsida; Malvales; Malvaceae.